UGUGGUGAGCUAGCAUGUCUUUGAUAUUA
RNAcentral lists this non-coding RNA (29 nucleotides) under Homo sapiens (human). The record is from RNAcentral. Lineage: Eukaryota; Metazoa; Chordata; Mammalia; Primates; Hominidae.